AGGGGUUCUGAGAGGAAGGUCCCCCACACUGGUACUGAGACACGGACCAGACUCCUACGGGAGGCAGCAGCAGGAAUAUUGGUCAAUGGACGCAAGUCUGAACCAGCCAUGUCGCGUGAAGGAAGACGGUUCUAUGGAUUGUAAACUUCUUUUAUACGGGAAGAAACGUAUCUACGUGUAGAUAUUUGCCGGUACCGUAUGAAUAAGCACCGGCUAACUCCGUGCCAGCAGCCGCGGUAAUACGGAGGGUGCGAGCGUUAUCCGGAUUUAUUGGGUUUAAAGGGUGCGUAGGCGGAAUAAUAAGUCAGUGGUGAAAUCUUGCAGCUUAACUGUAAAACUGCCAUUGAUACUGUUAUUCUUGAAUUUAGUUGAGGUAGGCGGAAUGUGUUGUGUAGCGGUGAAAUGCAUAGAUAUAACACAGAACACCGAUUGCGAAGGCAGCUUACUAAGCUAUAAUUGACGCUGAUGCACGAAAGCGUGGGUAGCGAACAGGAUUAGAUACCCUGGUAGUCCACGCCGUAAACGAUGAUUACUCGUUGUUGGCAAUACAUCGUCAGCGACUGAGCGAAAGCAUUAAGUAAUCCACCUGGGGAGUACGUUGGCAACAAUGAAACUCAAAGGAAUUGACGGGGGCCCGCACAAGCGGAGGAACAUGUGGUUUAAUUCGAUGAUACGCGAGGAACCUUACCUGGACUUAAAUGUAGAUUGACAGGCUUAGAGAUAGGCUUUUCUUCGGACAAUUUACAAGGUGCUGCAUGGCUGUCGUCAGCUCGUGCCGUGAGGUGUCGGGUUAAGUCCCAUAACGAGCGCAACCCCUAUCUUUAGUUACCAGCAUGUAGUGGUGGGGACUCUAAAGAGACUGCCGGUGUAAACCGUGAGGAAGGUGGGGAUGACGUCAAAUCAGCACGGCCCUUACGUCCAGGGCUACACACGUGUUACAAUGGUCGGUACAAAGGGCAGCUACCUAGCGAUAGGAUGCUAAUCUCUAAAACCGAUCUCAGUUCGGAUCGGAGUCUGCAACUCGACUCCGUGAAGCUGGAUUCGCUAGUAGUCGCAUAUCAGCCAUGAUGCGGUGAAUACGUUCCCGGGCCUUGUACACACCGCCCGUCAAACCAUGGAAGUUGGGGGUACCUGAAGUCUGUUACCGUAAGGAGCGGCCUAGGGUAAAACUAAUAACUAGGGUUAAGUCGGAACAAGGUA
RNAcentral lists this ribosomal RNA (1200 nucleotides) under metagenome. RNAcentral's name for it is "bacterial SSU rRNA". It matches the Rfam family "Bacterial small subunit ribosomal RNA", at positions 285 to 1498 of the family's 1533-position model. The record is from RNAcentral.